This is a long non-coding RNA of Macaca mulatta (Rhesus monkey), 3163 nucleotides long. Lineage: Eukaryota; Metazoa; Chordata; Mammalia; Primates; Cercopithecidae. The record is from Ensembl.
AGAGGAGACUGUGCGGUGCAGGAUGGCGUGGCUGUGGAGGCAGAGAACGAUGGGCCACGCUAGGAGUCUUGAAAGAGGAGCCAAAAGGACUUGCUGAGAGCUGUGCAGCUGGUGAAUGACAGUGCCAUGGCUGAGGUGGUCGAAAGGGAGUAUUUUAGGGGAAAUCAGUCAUUCCGUUUUGACCAAAUUAAGCUGGAGAUACCUGUGGAACAUUCCAGCCAGGCUGCAUCACUGCACACUGACCUUCAGCGUUGCCCACAGUCCAUCUUCCCCCAGGGCCUGAGGAUUCUGACUUCUGGCUCCCUCCUCGCCCAGGACCCCUAAGCUCCCAGCAUGCUUCUUUUUUUUUGUUUUGUUUUGUUUUGGGGGUUUUUUUUUUUUUGGUCUUUGUUUUGUUUGUUUGAGAGGGAGUCUCGCUCUGUCCCCUAGACUGGAGUGCAAUGGCUCCAUCUCGGCUCACUGCAACCUCCGCCUCCCAGGUGCAAGCAAUUCUCUUGCCUCAGCCUCCCGAGUAGCUGGGAUUACAGAUGUGUACCACCGUACCCAGCUAAUUUUUGUAUUUUUAGUGGAGAUGGGGUUUCACCAUGUUGGCCAAGCUGGUCUCGAACUCCGGACCUCAGGUGGUUCACCUGCCUCAGCCUCCCAAAGUGCUAGGAUUACAGGUGUGAGCCACUGCGCCCGGCCUCAGCCCACUUCUUUCAGGUGGCUAUGGUUUGGAUAUCAUUUGUCCUCACUAAAAUUCAUGUUGAGAUUCAAGCCCCAGUGUGGCAGGUGUUGGGAUGUGGGGCCUGAUAGGAGCUACAUGGAGGUGGAUUCCUCAUGGAUAGAUUAAUGCCUGCCUUCAGGGGUGAGUGAGUUCUCACCCUUGGGAAUUUGGGAAUUUGGUUUUCUCUCCCUUGCUUCCUUCAGCACCACGUGAUCUCUGUGCACACAGCGACAUCCUUCUGCCCUCCCCCUAGAGCAGAAGCAGCCUCAGGGGUGAGGGAGGUCCUCAGUGAGUGCACCUGCCCAGUCUUGAACCUUCCAGCCAUCAGAAUCUGAGCCAAAUCAACCUCUUCCUUCAUAAAGACCCAGAUUCAGUUCUUCUGUCAGAGCAACACAAAAUGGACUCAGCACAGGUCAAAUUGUGUCUCCCCACCCCCACAAAAAACUUUAUAUUAAAAUCCUAAUCCCCAGAAUCUCAGAAUGUGAUCUUAUUAGGAAAUAAGGUCAUUGCAGAUAUAAUUAGUUCAGGUGAAGUCAUUCAUGUGGACCCUAAUCCAGUAGGAUGCGUGUCUUUAUAAAAGUUUGGACAGAGACAGACACACAGAAAGGACACCGUGUGGAGGUGAAGGCAGAGAUUGGGGUGAUGCCUCUACAAGCCGAGGAAAACCAGAGCUGCCAGCACACCCUCAGAAGCCAGGUAGAGGCCGGGGACUCAUCCUCCCUCGCAGCCUCAGGAGCGGCCAGCCCUGCCGACACCCUCAUCUCAGACUUCUGACCUCCAGCACUGGGAGACCAUUAGUUUCUGUGAUUUAAGCCACUCAUUUUGAGCACCCACCCUGUGGAAGGUGUCUCAGGAUCACCUCAGGCACCGCCAAAGACUUGCAUGCGACCCUAAUGCUGCCGUCACCUUAACUCCCAGGCCGGAGUCUACACUACAGCCUCCCUAAUAGAGGGAAAGGACUGGAUUCCCACCCCUUGCUCCUUCCCUCUUCCUGCAUCCAAACUACAUCCCGCAAAUACACCAGUGAACCUGGUACCAAGGUGAUGGCAGAUAGGUUGAGACCAAGAGAUCAGAGCUGCAAAGACAAACCCGGUCAGAGGGAAAAAGAGUGAGAAACAGAAUCCAGGAGAAACCGAGAACAAGAAAUAGAGACAGCCUGGCGCGGUGGCUCACCCCUGUUAUCCCAACACUUUGGGAGGCCGAGGCAGGUAGAUCAUUGAGGUCAUGAGUUCGAGAUCAGCUUGGCCAACAUGGUGUAACCCUGUCUCUACUAAAAAUACAAAAAUUACCCAGGCCUGGUGGCAGGCACCUGUAAUUCCAGCUACUUGGGAGGCUGAGGCAGGAGAAUCAGAGCCACAUUUCUGCAAGGUGCCCCGCAGUGGUGGCCAGACACUAUCCCAGGGCCAGGGGCUAGUGGGGCAGGCGCUCAGAAAUGACGUGCUCAUGCCUACACUGGAGGAUUGCAGUGAGCCAAGAUCGCGCCACUGCACUGCAACCUGGGCGACAGACUGAGAUGGUCUCAUAAAAAAAGGAAAUAGAGACAAAAGCACAAGGCAGAAGGCCAUAAGAGACAGGAGGAGGUGACAGGGAGACACAGACAAGGAGAAAAAAUGUGGAGGCAGGGAGGAACUCGAGACAAAGACAUCGAAAUAGAAUUAGACAGGGAGGAGGAGGCCGAGAGCAAGAGACUUAGAUGGGGAGACAGGAAAACUCCAGAUCAGAUGGAGACCAAAACUGGGGCAGGGUGAGACGGGGAGCCAGAAGGACGGAAAUGAGAGAGAGCGCGCCACACGGAGAGGUGCGGUUAGGUAAAAGCAAGGGAUGACAAUGUCAGCAAGGUGGGCGUCACAUGGAGAAACGGGUAAACUGAGGCAGCACCACGGUGGACAAGGAGGUAGACCCGGACCUUCAAGGAACAGGCAGUGCCGACCUGAGGCGGGCGGGAUGUCAUCAUAAUCCAGUGUGGGCAUGAGCAGGUCAUUUCUGAGUCCCUGUUCCACUAGCCCCUGGCCCUGGGAUAGUGUCUGGCCACCACUGCGGGCCACCUUGCAGAAACGUGGCUCUGACCACAGCCUGCACCUUCCCCACCCAACCCCAGUGGAUUCCUUUUUUUUUUUGAGAUGGAGUCUCACUCUCACCCAGACUGGAGUGCAGUGGCAUGAUCUCAGUUCACUGCAACCUCUGUCUCCUGGGUUCAAGCGAUUCUCUUGCUUCAUCCUUAUGGAUUCUUGAGCCUGCAGUGCUGCUGCUGUAGCAGCCGAGGUCGGGUGAUGCGCACACUAGGCGCAGAGUAGGAUCUGGAGAAGCAGAGAAGCCAGGGCCUCGCCACUGCGCAGGAGUUUCCGCCUCUCUGAGCAUCGAUGUUCCAUCCGCCAUGCGGGCCCGGCCAGGGUCACACUCCCUCCCUACAUCCUCCCCGCCUCACCUCGUGAAACACGCACAGGCCCCGUGUUCCUC